CAAACCCAGCCUUCCUCUCGAUCUCAUCUGGACAUCCAGCCCCGCCCCGCCCCUCACAGCCGGCCGCCGCCGCCUCCUACCCUGCCGCCGCGCCUACCCCUACACCAAGUGCCAACACACCCGCGCCCAUCCACUACCGGGGACCCGCGGCCUUCUACCGCCGGCGGCACUCGACGUCGCGACCAUUGGCGGCUCCCCGACCUUGCUACCAUGGCGCCGCCGGGACUCCUCCCCGCUGCUUCCACCUCGACAUUGGUUUCCCCAACCCCGCUGGCUUCGCCACCAGCCACUCCUUCUAGGCACACUCUAUCUGCCGACGGACCCAUCCGCCUGGUUCCAAUGGUGAACAUCGCCGCCACCCUAUUGUGAGGCGAGGUGAUGUUCUUCGAACUGCCGGCUUGAUUCUGCCUAGAGUGAGCUUUUCAACGGAAAUUAUACUUUGAUCCUAUCCAAUCUUACUGUGACAGUAAUAUAUUCCCCUUUCCUUUAUAUGAAAGGAAAAUUGCGGCUCUUUAUCAUGUUGUCAUUAUAUUGUAACCGUGUGCAAGUGUGUUCAGUUCAACUAGAUGUAACUCAUUGACAUAUGAGAUUCCAUUGGGCCUGAUAAUCUUGAAUUUUGCUUCACAAUUUAAAAUGUAGUAUUAGACCUAGAGUUUUUAUGUAUUACAGAACCUGUCCUAUAAAUAUGCCAGUUACAAAUAAAGGUGAUAUUGAUGUGGAAACGCAACACACAUGUAGUAGAUGAAUUGUAUGAAGUAAAUCGCCUUGGAAUGAUGGUUGCUGAAUGUUACGAUUAUAGUCAUCUACCUGGACGACCUUUAAGCACCAAUAGCUUAAUCCUUUUAGGUUUUGUUCUUCUUUCUUCAGUACAAACAUAAUAUUGUUUGGUGCUUCCCAAUACUUGGAUGUGAAAAAUAAAGCAGUUUUACAUUUUAAGAACUAAUAGAUUUUUAACAAGAAAAUAUGGUCCAAGUGGGACUACUACUUCUAAAUAUUUUGUCUUUCACAGAAGGGGAUAUCGUACUUCUCCUAAUCAGGAUUGUUGUGUAACUGAAUGAUGGUAGGAUGGUAAGUAACUACAUCCUUUUUUGGUAUGGCAAAGAAAAAAAAUACAUCUUACCCAUUAGAUGAGUUGCAUCUGCAGCUGAAUAAUAAUGGAAGAAAAAGGAGUACAUGCUUUACCUAAUGUACCUACAGCAACAAUGGGUUGCCCCACCAAACAUCACUAGAGGACUAGGAAGGAAAACGGUGAUUUCUCAAUCAGGUUCUAUUAGCCAUUCUAGCAUUAGCAUCAUGAAGAUUCUGGAACAGUGCACGACAUGCCCAAUCCCAAGGUCUUCCCUUAGCUGGUGAAGCACAUGAGCUGGUGUCAAGCAAUAUCCCCUGUAUACUUUGUCCUUGUGUUCUUUCCAAGUAUGAAUCCAUAUCAGCUGCAUCACGGAGCUCCAUGCACAGUGGUACUACUUCCGAACGUGUAGAACAUGCAAUUGUAUGUAAAUCGCCUUGAAAUGAUGGUUGCUGAAUACUGCAUUAUGCUUGAUAGUCAUCUACCUGGACGACUUCAAGCGCUAAUAGGUAAAUCCUUUUAGAUUUUGUAGUUCUUUUCAGUACAGAGAUAAUUCUGUUUCUUGCUUCCCAA
Non-coding RNA from Triticum urartu, 1639 nucleotides. The record is from RefSeq and is a predicted model, not a curated record. NCBI's taxonomy places the organism in Eukaryota, Viridiplantae, Streptophyta, Magnoliopsida, Poales, Poaceae.